RNAcentral lists this ribosomal RNA (2899 nucleotides) under Klebsiella pneumoniae. RNAcentral describes it as "23S ribosomal RNA". It matches the Rfam family "Bacterial large subunit ribosomal RNA". The record is from RNAcentral. Lineage: Bacteria; Pseudomonadati; Pseudomonadota; Gammaproteobacteria; Enterobacterales; Enterobacteriaceae.
UUAAGCGACUAAGCGUACACGGUGGAUGCCCUGGCAGUCAGAGGCGAUGAAGGACGUGCUAAUCUGCGAAAAGCGUCGGUAAGGUGAUAUGAACCGUUAUAACCGGCGAUGUCCGAAUGGGGAAACCCAGUGCAAUUCGUUGCACUAUCGUUAACUGAAUACAUAGGUUAACGAGGCGAACCGGGGGAACUGAAACAUCUAAGUACCCCGAGGAAAAGAAAUCAACCGAGAUUCCCCCAGUAGCGGCGAGCGAACGGGGAGCAGCCCAGAGUCUGAAUCAGCUUGUGUGUUAGUGGAACGGUCUGGAAAGUCCGACGGUACAGGGUGAUAGUCCCGUACACCAAAAUGCACAGGCUGUGAACUCGAAGAGUAGGGCGGGACACGUGGUAUCCUGUCUGAAUAUGGGGGGACCAUCCUCCAAGGCUAAAUACUCCUGACUGACCGAUAGUGAACCAGUACCGUGAGGGAAAGGCGAAAAGAACCCCGGCGAGGGGAGUGAAAAAGAACCUGAAACCGUGUACGUACAAGCAGUGGGAGCACCUUCGGGUGUGACUGCGUACCUUUUGUAUAAUGGGUCAGCGACUUAUAUUCUGUAGCAAGGUUAACCGUAUAGGGGAGCCGCAGGGAAACCGAGUCUUAACUGGGCGUUAAGUUGCAGGGUAUAGACCCGAAACCCGGUGAUCUAGCCAUGGGCAGGUUGAAGGUUGGGUAACACUAACUGGAGGACCGAACCGACUAAUGUUGAAAAAUUAGCGGAUGACUUGUGGCUGGGGGUGAAAGGCCAAUCAAACCGGGAGAUAGCUGGUUCUCCCCGAAAGCUAUUUAGGUAGCGCCUCGUGAACUCAUCUUCGGGGGUAGAGCACUGUUUCGGCUAGGGGGUCAUCCCGACUUACCAACCCGAUGCAAACUACGAAUACCGAAGAAUGUUAUCACGGGAGACACACGGCGGGUGCUAACGUCCGUCGUGAAGAGGGAAACAACCCAGACCGCCAGCUAAGGUCCCAAAGUCAUGGUUAAGUGGGAAACGAUGUGGGAAGGCACAGACAGCCAGGAUGUUGGCUUAGAAGCAGCCAUCAUUUAAAGAAAGCGUAAUAGCUCACUGGUCGAGUCGGCCUGCGCGGAAGAUGUAACGGGGCUAAACCAUGCACCGAAGCUGCGGCAGCGACACUAUGUGUUGUUGGGUAGGGGAGCGUUCUGUAAGCCUGCGAAGGUGUGCUGUGAGGCAUGCUGGAGGUAUCAGAAGUGCGAAUGCUGACAUAAGUAACGAUAAAGCGGGUGAAAAGCCCGCUCGCCGGAAGACCAAGGGUUCCUGUCCAACGUUAAUCGGGGCAGGGUGAGUCGACCCCUAAGGCGAGGCCGAAAGGCGUAGUCGAUGGGAAACAGGUUAAUAUUCCUGUACUUGGUGUUACUGCGAAGGGGGGACGGAGAAGGCUAUGUUAGCCGGGCGACGGUUGUCCCGGUUUAAGCAUGUAGGCUGGUUGUCCAGGCAAAUCCGGAUAAUCAAGGCUGAGGUGUGAUGACGAGGCACUACGGUGCUGAAGUAACAAAUGCCCUGCUUCCAGGAAAAGCCUCUAAGCAUCAGGUAACAUCAAAUCGUACCCCAAACCGACACAGGUGGUCAGGUAGAGAAUACCAAGGCGCUUGAGAGAACUCGGGUGAAGGAACUAGGCAAAAUGGUGCCGUAACUUCGGGAGAAGGCACGCUGGUGUGUAGGUGAAGCCCCUGCGGGUGGAGCUGAGACCAGUCGAAGAUACCAGCUGGCUGCAACUGUUUAUUAAAAACACAGCACUGUGCAAACACGAAAGUGGACGUAUACGGUGUGACGCCUGCCCGGUGCCGGAAGGUUAAUUGAUGGGGUUAUCCGUAAGGAGAAGCUCUUGAUCGAAGCCCCGGUAAACGGCGGCCGUAACUAUAACGGUCCUAAGGUAGCGAAAUUCCUUGUCGGGUAAGUUCCGACCUGCACGAAUGGCGUAAUGAUGGCCAGGCUGUCUCCACCCGAGACUCAGUGAAAUUGAACUCGCUGUGAAGAUGCAGUGUACCCGCGGCAAGACGGAAAGACCCCGUGAACCUUUACUAUAGCUUGACACUGAACAUUGAGCCUUGAUGUGUAGGAUAGGUGGGAGGCUUUGAAGCGUGGACGCCAGUCUGCGUGGAGCCAACCUUGAAAUACCACCCUUUAAUGUUUGAUGUUCUAACGUUGGCCCCUUACCGGGGUUGCGGACAGUGUCUGGUGGGUAGUUUGACUGGGGCGGUCUCCUCCCAAAGCGUAACGGAGGAGCACGAAGGUUAGCUAAUCCUGGUCGGACAUCAGGAGGUUAGUGCAAUGGCAUAAGCUAGCUUGACUGCGAGCGUGACGGCGCGAGCAGGUGCGAAAGCAGGUCAUAGUGAUCCGGUGGUUCUGAAUGGAAGGGCCAUCGCUCAACGGAUAAAAGGUACUCCGGGGAUAACAGGCUGAUACCGCCCAAGAGUUCAUAUCGACGGCGGUGUUUGGCACCUCGAUGUCGGCUCAUCACAUCCUGGGGCUGAAGUAGGUCCCAAGGGUAUGGCUGUUCGCCAUUUAAAGUGGUACGCGAGCUGGGUUUAGAACGUCGUGAGACAGUUCGGUCCCUAUCUGCCGUGGGCGCUGGAGAAUUGAGGGGGGCUGCUCCUAGUACGAGAGGACCGGAGUGGACGCAUCACUGGUGUUCGGGUUGUCAUGCCAAUGGCACUGCCCGGUAGCUAAAUGCGGAAGAGAUAAGUGCUGAAAGCAUCUAAGCACGAAACUUGCCCCGAGAUGAGUUCUCCCUGAGACUUUAAGUCUCCUGAAGGAACGUUAAAGACGAUGACGUUGAUAGGCCGGGUGUGUAAGCGCAGCGAUGCGUUGAGCUAACCGGUACUAAUGAACCGUGAGGCUUAACCU